UACGUAGGGUGCAAGCGUUAAUCGGAAUUACUGGGCGUAAAGCGUGCGCAGGCGGUUUUGUAAGCCAGAUGUGAAAUCCCCCGGGCUCAACCUGGGAAUGGCAUUUGGGACUGCAAGGCUCGAGUUUGGCAGAGGAGACUGGAAUUCCUGGUGUAGCAGUGAAAUGCGUAGAUAUCAGGAGGAAUACCGAUGGCGAAGGCAGGUCUCUGGGCUGAAACUGACGCUCAUGCACGAAAGCGUGGGGGAGCAAACAGGG
Molecule: ribosomal RNA, 256 nt
Filed under: uncultured bacterium
Lineage: Bacteria
Description: partial 16S ribosomal RNA
Rfam family: Bacterial small subunit ribosomal RNA
Source: RNAcentral